CUUCUAUCCAGUCUAACAAUCUCUGCCUUUUGAUCAGGGUGUUUAGACUCUUCACAUUUAAUGGCUACUUUCAAUCAAGAAAAAAUUGAACUCCCCAGUGAUGUCAAAGACAGCGUAUUGCAGAGGUUAAUUAACAAGUCAUCUGGAGAAGAUUGAACAGCCAUUGUGCUGACAAGUUCAAGAGCUAAUCGGUUCUGAUGAUGUAAUUUGCAGCAGGGCUUGACGUCUAUUGGCUCGAAGGGUGACAGCUGCUGUGAGCCCUGAUGAUUAAAGUGUGAAGCAUG
Manis pentadactyla (Chinese pangolin) is the source of this 284-nucleotide long non-coding RNA. RefSeq lists it as uncharacterized. The record is from RefSeq and is a predicted model, not a curated record. The transcript has 2 exons. Lineage: Eukaryota; Metazoa; Chordata; Mammalia; Pholidota; Manidae.